This 243-nucleotide ribosomal RNA is filed under the name uncultured bacterium. RNAcentral's name for it is "partial 16S ribosomal RNA". It matches the Rfam family "Bacterial small subunit ribosomal RNA", at positions 111 to 354 of the family's 1533-position model. The record is from RNAcentral.
UAACGCGUGAGGAACCUGCCUUCCAGAGGGGGACGAACAGUUGGAAACGACUGCUAAUACCGCAUGAUACGUUGGAGCCGCAUGACUCCGACGUCAAAGAUUUAUCGCUGGAAGAUGGCCUCGCGUCUGAUUAGCUAGUUGGUGAGGUAACGGCCCACCAGGCGACGAUCAGUAGCCGGACUGAGAGGUUGGCCGGCCACAUUGGGACUGAGAUACGGCCCAGACUCCUACGGGAGGCAGCAG